GAUUGGGUCAGGCAGCAAAUA
Molecule: microRNA, 21 nt
Filed under: Strongyloides ratti
Lineage: Eukaryota; Metazoa; Nematoda; Chromadorea; Rhabditida; Strongyloididae
Description: str-miR-7880d-5p
Source: miRBase by way of RNAcentral